UUAUGGCAAAAUACAUCACAGCAAAUAUUAAGUUUGACCAUCUAUGAUCCAUUGAAGUACUAGUUCAUAAAGCAUAUGAAUUAACAUCAAGCAACAGUCACAGUUUCUGCAGGCUUUGUUUCGGGCUCUGCAGGUGCCUCUGCUUCCCAGAAGGUAGUCUUCUUCCCGGUCUUUGAAACAGUCUGAAGAACUGCCUCUGGCUGCACGUUUCCUUUCACUGUAAC
RNAcentral lists this unclassified non-coding RNA (224 nucleotides) under Hevea brasiliensis (rubber tree). The record is from RNAcentral. Lineage: Eukaryota; Viridiplantae; Streptophyta; Magnoliopsida; Malpighiales; Euphorbiaceae.